CACGUAGGGGGCGAGCGUUGUCCGGAUUCAUUGGGCGUAAAGAGCUCGUAGGCGGCUCGGUAAGUCGGGUGUGAAAUCUUCAGGCUCAACCUGGGGAGGCCACUCGAUACUGCCGUGGCUAGAGUCCAGUAGGGGAGUGUGGAAUUCUCGGUGUAGCGGUGAAAUGCGCAGAUAUCGGGAGGAACACCGGCGGCGAAGGCGGCACUCUGGGCUGGUACUGACGCUGAGGAGCGAAAGCGUGGGUAGCAAACAGG
Molecule: ribosomal RNA, 254 nt
Filed under: uncultured bacterium
Lineage: Bacteria
Also listed under: 1 other name
Description: partial 16S ribosomal RNA
Rfam family: Bacterial small subunit ribosomal RNA
Source: RNAcentral